CUCUGCUGGUUUGGCUUCACCGGCGUCUUCCAGAGAAGACGAGGUCCUCUGAAGAAGCAGCCGCCGUUGCCCUGGGCCCUGUUGGACCCCCUCCUGGUGGAGACUGAGAGAGCCAAAGGCUUACGUUCCAGCCUGCGUUCAGCAAGGGGUGGCUGUGUGAUGGAGUUGCGGAGGACGAGACCCUGUGAGCCAGGACAGGACAGGAUAUGCUGCGGUCACACACGGCCCCUGGCUUAUUAGUAGUUUAGCACAACAGGGUGUUGUGCUCACUCAUGGUGCACGCCGCUGUGGGUCUACUGGGGACUCUGUUCCACAGUGUCCCUUGGGAGCUCUCUUCCUUCUGCCCAUCUGGAACAUUCAAUUCCUGAGGCUGCCACCACAGGAAUGAGGAAGAUGGAGGACCUUUCAGGAAAAAAUUAAACAAAGACCAGACCCAGGAUUGAGACUCUUUGUGGGGAUUUCACUGAAGGGGGAAAUCAUGAGCCCAAGCCAUGCUCAUGAAGACCUGCAGCAUCUGUUUCCUUGAGACCGUGGAGGAGACGAGAGCUCGAAGGAAAAAGCAGCAUCAAUGAGACGGUGGUGUGCACCCAGGCUGAUGCGGUCAAGGGGCCCAGGGCCAGGCGUGGACAUGCGCAGCUUGUGCAUAAGCUGCCUAUUCUCAGCCAAGAAGUGCGUUUUGCCUCAGGGUUUUCCUGUAGGAACGGCAUCAAUAAUCUCUGCCUCACUAUGUCACGGGGAAUUUGUAGGAAUUAAACGAGAUUCAGU
Molecule: long non-coding RNA, 765 nt
Organism: Phacochoerus africanus (Common warthog)
Lineage: Eukaryota; Metazoa; Chordata; Mammalia; Artiodactyla; Suidae
Exons: 3
Source: RefSeq, a predicted model, not a curated record